UGGGGAAUAUUGGACAAUGGGCGCAAGCCUGAUCCAGCAACGCCGCGUGGAGGAUGAAGGUCUUCGGAUCGUAAACUCCUGUCAGACGGGACGAACGCAGCCGGGUGAACAAUCCGGCUGCUUGACGGUACCGUCAGAGGAAGCCCCGGCUAACUCCGUGCCAGCAGCCGCGGUAAUACGGAGGGGGCAGCGUUAUUCGGAAUUAUUGGGCGUAAAGGGCGCGUAGGCGGCUUGAUAAGUCAAAGGUGAAAUCCCUCGGCUCAACUGAGGAACUGCCUUUGAAACUGUCGAGCUUGAGGCCGGGAGGGGGUAGCGGAAUUCCCAGUGUAGCGGUGAAAUGCGUAGAUACUGGGAGGAACACCGGUGGCGAAGGCGGCUACCUGGACCGGUUCUGACGCUGAGGCGCGAAAGCGUGGGUAGCAAACAGGAUUAGAUACCCUGGUAGUCCACGCUGUAAACGAUGGGUGCUCGGUGUCGCGGGUAUCGACCCCUGCGGUGCCUUAGCUAACGCG
RNAcentral lists this ribosomal RNA (512 nucleotides) under uncultured Acidobacteriota bacterium. RNAcentral's name for it is "bacterial SSU rRNA". It matches the Rfam family "Bacterial small subunit ribosomal RNA", at positions 355 to 859 of the family's 1533-position model. The record is from RNAcentral. Lineage: Bacteria; Pseudomonadati; Acidobacteriota.